This 440-nucleotide ribosomal RNA is filed under the name uncultured bacterium. RNAcentral describes it as "partial 16S ribosomal RNA". It matches the Rfam family "Bacterial small subunit ribosomal RNA", at positions 338 to 795 of the family's 1533-position model. The record is from RNAcentral.
CCUACGGGAGGCAGCAGUGGGGGAUAUUGCACAAUGGGGGGAACCCUGAUGCAGCGACGCCGCGUGGGUGAAGAAGCGCCUCGGCGCGUAAAGCCCUGUCAGCAGGGAAGAAACUGACGGUUACUGAAGAAGAAGCCCCGGCGAACUACGUGCCAGCAGCCGCGGUAAUACGUAGGGGGCAAGCGUUAUCCGGAUUUACUGGGUGUAAAGGGGGCGCAGACGGCGAUGCAAGCCAGGAGUGAAAGCCCGGGGCCCAACCCCGGGACUGCUCGUGGAACUGCGUGGCUGGAGUGCAGGAGGGGCAGGCGGAAGUCCUGGUGUAGCGGUGAAAUGCGUAGAUAUCAGGAGGAACACCGGUGGCGAAGGCGGCCUGCUGGACUGCGACUGACGUUGAGGCCCGAAAGCGUGGGGAGCGAACAGGAUUAGAUACCCCAGUAGUC